Molecule: ribosomal RNA, 1342 nt
Filed under: uncultured bacterium
Lineage: Bacteria
Description: bacterial SSU rRNA
Rfam family: Bacterial small subunit ribosomal RNA
Source: RNAcentral
GAUGAACGCUGGCGGCGUGCUUAACACAUGCAAGUCGAACGAUGAAGCCAGCUUGCUGGUGGAUUAGUGGCGAACGGGUGAGUAACACGUGAGUAACCUGCCCUUGACUCUGGGAUAAGCCUGGGAAACUGGGCCUAAUACCGGAUAUGACUGAUCAUCGCAUGGUGGUUGGUGGAAAGCUUUUGCGGUUUUGGAUGGACUCGCGGCUUAUCAGCUUGUUGGUGGGGUAAUGGCCUACCAAGGCGACGACGGGUAGCCGGCCUGAGAGGGUGACCGGCCACACUGGGACUGAGACACGGCCCAGACUCCUACGGGAGGCAGCAGUGGGGAAUAUUGCACAAUGGGCGAAAGCCUGAUGCAGCGACGCCGCGUGAGGGAUGACGGCCUUCGGGUUGUAAACCUCUUUCAGUAGGGAAGAAGCCGCAAGGUGACGGUACCUGCAGAAGAAGCGCCGGCUAACUACGUGCCAGCAGCCGCGGUAAUACGUAGGGCGCAAGCGUUAUCCGGAAUUAUUGGGCGUAAAGAGCUCGUAGGCGGUUUGUCGCGUCUGCCGUGAAAGUCCGGGGCUCAACUCCGGAUCUGCGGUGGGUACGGGCAGACUAGAGUGAUGUAGGGGAGACUGGAAUUCCUGGUGUAGCGGUGAAAUGCGCAGAUAUCAGGAGGAACACCGAUGGCGAAGGCAGGUCUCUGGGCAUUAACUGACGCUGAGGAGCGAAAGCAUGGGGAGCGAACAGGAUUAGAUACCCUGGUAGUCCAUGCCGUAAACGUUGGGCACUAGGUGUGGGGGACAUUCCACGUUUUCCGCGCCGUAGCUAACGCAUUAAGUGCCCCGCCUGGGGAGUACGGCCGCAAGGCUAAAACUCAAAGGAAUUGACGGGGGCCCGCACAAGCGGCGGAGCAUGCGGAUUAAUUCGAUGCAACGCGAAGAACCUUACCAAGGCUUGACAUGAACCGGAAACGCCUGGAAACAGGUGCCCCACUUGUGGUCGGUUUACGGGUGGUGCAUGGUUGUCGUCAGCUCGUGUCGUGAGAUGUUGGGUUAAGUCCCGCAACGAGCGCAACCCUCGUUCUAUGUUGCCAGCACGUGAUGGUGGGGACUCAUAGGAGACUGCCGGGGUCAACUCGGAGGAAGGUGGGGACGACGUCAAAUCAUCAUGCCCCUUAUGUCUUGGGCUUCACGCAUGCUGCAAUGGCCGGUACAAAGGGUUGCGAUACUGUGAGGUGGAGCUAAUCCCAAAAAGCCGGUCUCAGUUCGGAUUGGGGUCUGCAACUCGACCCCAUGAAGUCGGAGUCGCUAGUAAUCGCAGAUCAGCAACGCUGCGGUGAAUACGUUCCCGGGCCU